UGCCAUGAAGUGAGGGUAGAUUAGCAAUUCAGUAUUUCAGUAAUCUUUUUCAGGAACAAAGUGAGCCUGGGAAAGUCACUGAUAAGAAAGCAGUAAUUAGUCAAGAGGAGAAAGGGUGUAAAGCAUUUUGUGGCUCUGGCUGACCUUAGAAGAAUAUUGUUUUGUGUUGGCUUCGUCUGUGAUUGUCUGUCCAUUUUCACAGCCUGGUUGUGCCAGGGUGAGCUUUACUUUCUCAGUCCUGGGUUUUACUCUCUCGCUAUUCUACAACUGCUGAAUCUGAGCCACAGAGUGGCUUCACACUACUGGGGAGCUGAUCAGCAAUGGACAUUUGGACAAAGGCGGACAGAGAGAUAAAAUCUCCACCACAGUGAGGACUGCAGGAUCGCUCUGGAUUCCUUUCCCUGUGAUGAUGGUGACAUGAGGACUGGUUUAUAUCAGGGACAUUCCAGGUACUCUAAGGAGCAAAAGAGCCACUCCUCCAUGAAGCCUUGGGAUCCAGUACUUCCUUUACAAUAUUCCCACUUGAUGGGAUCCUCAGCUACCCCUCCCAUGCUUCAGCUCAGCUCUGAGAAGCGGGACACUGUUUGCCAUCUUGGUAUUGCCAAUUGUUAGCAUAAUAGCUGACAAAUACAGAUAACAGAUGUCCAAAUUGUGUUUGUUCAAUGAGUGAAUGAAGUUUCCAAAUUGAUUGCCAUUCCUUUCAUUUUAUUAAUGAUAUAGCAAAGCCUCACAAGUCAUUUAAAAAUGUUAUGGCUUAAUUAGUAGUUAAUUUGGCUUAAUCUGUGGGGGGAGAAGAAGUGUGGAAAGCAAGGCAUUAGAAAUGGAAGGACAAUGUUGAUUAAAAACUUUGAUGGCAAUACAAGCAAAUACUAACAUUGAUCUUCAUCAGCAAAAGAAUCCAUUUUAUUUUAUUUUUGCUAUCUCUAGGCACUAAAUCUUCUCCAUUGUGAUCCUAUUUCUAAGUAACCAUCAUCAGUUUCUAUAUCCUGGUUAUACUUUGUAACUCAAAACAGACUCAUUUUCUGGGCUCCACUUUCCAUCACAGCUGUCAGUAAAGAGAAUGAUAUGUAGGGUUUACAAAAAAAAAAAAACAAGUAAAGAAGGCAGGUAUACGUGCCCUUGUAAGUUGUUGCCCUGGACUACUGAGGAAGCUCCUACAAUAUUUUUUUGCCUCCCUACAAUCUCUCUCAACUUCACUAUAUAUGCUGCAGUCUGUGAACAGAAUUUGAUGUAUCACCCUUCUAUUUAAAGUUCUGUGACGGUUCCCACUGCCUUGGGGAUAAGGGUGACUCCAUGUGUGGUCCACAAGUCCUCACAACUAGACUCAACUUCCUUUCCAGACGUUCCCCAACUACUGUGUCCACUAAUCUCCUGAGCUCUGGCCAUACUGAACCACUGUUUUGUUUUUGUUUUUUUAUCUGGAACAAGCCAUAUUCAUAUGCAUUUGCACACAGUUACAUCUGUCUAAACUGCCUUCAUGCCUGCAUGAACAUUAUCCUCUACCUAGGAUGGCAAGGUAAAACUAUUGCUUAGAGUCAGGCCUACUUGGCAACUUAUUCCUGCCAUGUCUGUGCACCCCCAAACCCUAUUAUCAGAGCAGGCUGGGAGAAGUAAAGUUUGUAACUCUUCAUUCAUGCUUCUCUUUGCUUUUGCGAGACAUCCCAUCAGCCCCUAGUUCCCUGGCUCUCAUUUCUCUCUGCAUUGAGUCCAUCCGUCCUUACACCAAAACUACCUUUGAGACACUCAAUUCUGGUGUCUUUGAGGCACCUAACAUUUGCUCCUUGUCUUCUAGACCUGUGAACUUACAGAAUUAUAGAGAAGUCAGGAGAGGAAACUGACAUUUACUAGAUAGUCCUAGGUCCCAGGACUUUUCUGGAAGCUUGAUAUGCCUUUUAGUUUUCACAGGUAUUGUGAAAUCAGUAUUAUGCUCGAUUUGCAGAGCUGUGAGGGUGGUGGUCCAGACAGGGUACUACCUUGGGUCCUUAGCUCCUAAUUAUCUAGAGAGGCUUCUUGGAUUUUCCAGUCAUUAGGAAAGUUUGGAAAAAUGUUGAUGAGAUGCAUAGUCAUGGAAAAAACAUGGGCAGUUGGUGCAGGUCAGACAUGUGAGGAUAACAGGUAAUACAGGAAAUGUUAUGGGGUGGACUGUCCUUGAAUGAGAAACAGAGAGCGUGGAGGUGGCUGGCUAUUGGCAGUCCCGGCCCUGGUCAGGACCUGCUUGCUCUCCCUUCCUGGCACUAAUGCUGGACUCUGUGCUGCCUUUGCUUGCCAUACAUUCCCCAAAGUGAACAAAGGCCUUGCUGUCUUAGUGAUUUCCACAAGUUGGGGCCAUUGACACAGCUACAGCUGGCCAGCAGUGAGCACGUGCACUUCAGUGGUGACCACAUUGGCCUAGGACCCAUGACCUUUCAGAUAUUUGGGUGAUAAAGUUUAAGGAUAUUUAGGUAGAAAUGAAUUCCUUAGUGAACAUCAAUUCUCAGCAGAAGAUAUUUCAGAUGUUCUACCAUACUCAUCAAAAGAGCAAAGAAAAAUGUUUCUGAUGUGAAAAAGAUAGAGAAAGAAGCUGUUUCCA
Molecule: long non-coding RNA, 2569 nt
Organism: Manis pentadactyla (Chinese pangolin)
Lineage: Eukaryota; Metazoa; Chordata; Mammalia; Pholidota; Manidae
Exons: 3
Source: RefSeq, a predicted model, not a curated record